This 648-nucleotide long non-coding RNA is filed under the name Malus domestica (apple). RNAcentral's name for it is "long non-coding RNA (MDOM_LNC003078)". Lineage: Eukaryota; Viridiplantae; Streptophyta; Magnoliopsida; Rosales; Rosaceae. The record is from RNAcentral.
UCAAGUUGCCCCUGCGGUACCUUCUCUAUCAUAUCAUUGCACUGCUGUAGAUUUGAAUGGACAUUGAUAACGGAAUGAAGUGCUACAUCGAAAGGUGAGAAAGUUCUAACAUGUUUCGGUGUAUUGAAAUGUAAUGUAAGAAACAUUACCAACUUACUCUCGACUGCUUGGACAUAUUAUUUUGACCAAAAUUGAGUUUUACAGGUCUCAUGGCACUACAUUGUUUCAGUUUCCACUUCUCUUUUCUUCCUAGUAAUCCAGGAACCUUUUCUGGGACAUUAUUGACAUCCAGAAGAGGAAGGCAGCCAGAAAACCCAAUAGCUCGAGGCAACAUUCCAAUCGGACGUGGGUUCCCUCAUUUGGGCAGAACCCAUUUGUUUGUAUUUCCGACAUCAGCAUCUGUCUUCUUCAAUUCUUUGCUCUUCAUUUUGCGACAUUAAUCAGUUCUAGCUUCUUUGCCGCUUGACUGAUGAUUCAUCUUGCUUUAAAUGUAGAUAAUUUGUAUUUAUAAGAACACUAGAAGAACAUCUUCUGCAGUAUCCGAAUGUGAUAAAACUAAAAAGCAGUCCUCUGUCAGCUGUGCAAGAUGGAGGAGAGAAUCCAUGAGCCUGUUAUUAGCAAAAGCUGAUACAAUAAGCCAUUUACAUG